Long non-coding RNA from Haliotis rubra (blacklip abalone), 106 nucleotides. RefSeq lists it as uncharacterized. Lineage: Eukaryota; Metazoa; Mollusca; Gastropoda; Lepetellida; Haliotidae. The record is from RefSeq and is a predicted model, not a curated record. The transcript is spliced from 3 exons.
CUUUUCGGGUAUGCAGUGAAUAACGUUUUGUCAAGGGCUGCUUUAGCUGCAGCAUCGGCUUUUGAAUUACCUGCUAUGCCUAAAUGACGUAGUAAUUAGGUAAAGA